AAAAAAAACUCUCGCCUCUCUCUUAAACGGCGCAUCACUGCUUCUCUCGCUGGCCUCUUUGCCUCUCUCGCCUCUCUUCUCAUUUCUUCUCUACCCUAAGCGUAAGGCUGACCAGGAGAUCCCUCACCUUCUCUCUGCUGAGCUCAAGCUCGCCGGUGCUACCAUGUUUUUUGUGACAUCUCAGGGGUGAUUUCAUUGCCGCAGCUGGUUCCCUCCUCGUUGCCCGAUUUCUCGUUGGUCGCCGGCACUAAAUUGUUAGAAUCGGAAGUGGGGAAGAUUAAUCUUCUGGAUGAGAGUGAACUGGAGUUCGGAUUAGGGCAGUGGCGGUGAACGGCUCAGUCUCGGCGGUGGCGCGUGGAAGAGCUUCUCCUCCUCGUUCAAGCGAGGAUCAGAACCGCAGCGCAAGUUAUCAAAGGCAGAGCACAAAGAUGAAGAGGAAGAGGAAGGUGUGGAAGAGGAGGAUGAUGAUGAGCAAGGGAAACACAGUGUGGGGCAUGCGGCCGAUGAGUUCUGGAUCUGCUGUGACGUUUGUGAGAACUGGCUCCAUGGGAAGUGUGUGAAGAUAACACCAGCCAGGGCUGAACACAUCAAGCAGUUCAAGUGCCCAUCUUGCAGCAACAAGAAGGCUCGGUCUUAAACUAGUUUUUAUUGCCGCCUCGGUCGUAAACAACUGUGUUAUAAUCAUUAAGUUGUUUUUCUUGUUACAGUCAUUAAGCAGAAUAUCAAUAUGACAAAUUCUAAAACAUAUGCAUCAUGUAAUGCAAAUUGAUGUUAAUAUAUGGAGAUUUUUUCAGUUUA
Long non-coding RNA from Eutrema salsugineum, 798 nucleotides. RefSeq lists it as uncharacterized. Lineage: Eukaryota; Viridiplantae; Streptophyta; Magnoliopsida; Brassicales; Brassicaceae. The transcript is spliced from 3 exons. The record is from RefSeq and is a predicted model, not a curated record.